UAAUGAAAUUAAUGAAAAAUAAACGUUUGGUUCCUCAACUGCGUUGCCCCUCCAGUCAGCAGAUGGCGAUGUGCGUCUUUUAGGUUCAGGCGACGCUGCCAGUGUGACGUAUAAUCUAGUGGACGGGACGCUCCUUCAACAACAACAGUUAGACACCUCGGUAGCUUUAUAGCAAACAUAGCUACAACAUUCACUCUCUUUACACUGUUUUGGUGUAUGUUAGUCGCUGUGUAUUAAACACACUUCUGUCGUAUGUACGUGUUGGCCCAUUUAAUUAUAUAUUUACGUUGUUUGUCAGCUAGCUGGUUUGCUAAAUUAGCUUAGAGCUAGGCUAGUUGCUAAUGCUAGCUAGAGAACAUCUCCGACCAUGAGUUCACUAAGCUGCUCUCCUCCUGCUAAAGAAGAGGAGGUCUUCUGGACGGAGAAAGAAGCUCUCCUGAAAGAGGAGGAGGAAGAGAAGGAUGUUACAAUUAAAAAAACAAGUAGAGGGUGAGGCUGUUACCGUGAAAGAAGAAGAGAGACGUUUCAGUGAAAGAAAAGGAAGACUCGUUCAGAGUGAAAGAGGAGGAGGAUGUUACAGUAAAAGAAGAGGAAGCGGAGAGAGAGGAGGAUGCAGUUUAUGGAGUGAAAGAGGGGGAGGGGGAGAUGACUGUCACAUCGAUAAAGGAGGAAGAGGAAACUGGAUAUCUGGGCCCGGUUUCCCCAACGCUUCUUAAGGCAUCCUAUGGUUCUGACGGUGAACUCAGCCGUAAGAUGGUUUUGAGAAACCGGGCCGUGAUUAACAUUAACUUUGUUGUUCACACAGGAGAGAGACGUGACUAUCGUGGAUCCUCUGGGGAGCCUCAACAUCAUGAAGCUGACGAGGCAGAGAAGAGUCCCUCCCGAUCAGAACACCUCAAGAAACACCAGUGGAGGCCAACAGGGAAGAAAUCUCACUGCUGCUCUGACUGUGGGAAGAAUUACUUAAGAUCAAAUUCACUAAAAGUACACAUGGAAUUCACACUGGAGAGAAACCUUACAGCUGUGAUCAAUGUGGGAAGAGUUUUACUCAGUCAAGCAGCCUGUUAUCUCACCAGAGAACACACACAGGAGAGAAACCUUACAGCUGUUAUCAAUGUGGGAAGAGUUUUACUCAGUCAAGCAACCUGGUAUCACACCAGAGAACACACACAGGAGAGAAAUCUUAUAGUUGUGAACAAUGUGGGAAGAAUUUGACUACAUCUAGUCAUCUGAUUGUACACCAGAGAACACACCCAGGAGAGAAACCUCAUAGCUGUGGUCAAUGUGACAAGAGAUACUCUGAUAAAAGAUCUCUGAUCAAACAUCAGAAAAUACAUUAAUGAAGGAGUUGUUUCAUGAUAUCAAUGAAUUAAUGUCACAAUGUAGAAUGUUUAAACAUUGUAGUAGGAGUAUUUUAAUGAUGUCACAAUGUAGAAUGUUUAAACAUUGUAGAAGGAGUAUUUGAAUGAUGUCACAAUGUAGAAUGUUUUCACAUUGUAGUAGGAGUAUUUUAAUGAUGUCACAAUGUAGAACACUAAACUGCCCCCUGUUCAAUUGAUUUCUGCAUGAUAUGGAUAUUAGCCUCAGGGGGAAAAUCCAGGCUCUGAAUUGAAAGAGUGAUAUUUAUAUGAUAUAACAGAAAGUGACUCACACAAAAACAGCUGUGUUACACUUACAGCAUUGGUGACCCACUGGAAUCAAAAUGUAGCUAGAUGUUUUCUACAAGUUGCCCUCUAACCAGGGAGGUAAAAUAUAUCUCCCAUUUCCAUGUGUUUUUUUAGUUGUGUUAGUUUCAACAGCACCAACAACCUGAUUUCCCCCCUAAUUGAUAUCAGUGAUUUAUUGCUACUUGUCAGAACAAGUGUUUCUGGUGCUCCUGCAUUUUAAAAGGUGCUUGUUUAAGUAAUGUGAUUAUUGUUGCAGAUGUUUGUGCAGAUGGUACAUUUUAUGUUUAGGUUUUCAAUAUCACAAAUGGUUUCUGCAUAUUGGUUAUUGAUCUGGACACAUUAAAACUGUGUUUUGACAUUGGGCUGAACCACCAAGCUAAAUGUCAUUGAAAAGACGUUGAAAAGAAGACGAUACCCAACGUCCAAUAUACGUUUGGUUUUAGUUGAAGGUUUUAAAUGUUUAUUUUCAGGUUGUUGUUAAUAACGACUUGAAAACAACUUCAUUUCAAUGUUCUUACAGUUUAGACACAUUGACUGUUGUGGAAAAUAUUGAAUCAACUAUUUCACCAAACCAGAACCUGUGAAUUCAACUAGACUUUAUUACAAACAGUAACAAAGCUGAACAAUUCCAUGGAA
This is a long non-coding RNA of Oncorhynchus kisutch (coho salmon), 2303 nucleotides long. RefSeq lists it as uncharacterized. The transcript has 2 exons. The record is from RefSeq and is a predicted model, not a curated record. Lineage: Eukaryota; Metazoa; Chordata; Actinopteri; Salmoniformes; Salmonidae.